UCUCAAUGCCAAAAAUUCUCUCAAUUCUCUAGUCUUCAGAAUUCAGUGUCUUCAACAAAGAGGAGGAGAAGAAGAAGUCGUGAGCCUCCCUUGCCACCAUCCUUCCACCUUGGACCGUGAUAUUGAAGCCUUUCUUUCAAGAUUCAAGUUCAACUUCUCAAGCUCUUCAUCAUCCACUCCCUUCACGGUGUGUACUCUCAAUCUCCGGCUUGAAUGAUCCCUAUUUAUCAUAUACUAACGAUGAUAUUUUACGGGGUUAAAUUGUGUGCUACUUUUAGCAUGUCAUAAGACUUCAGAUUUGCAUUUUAUUUGUGACAAGAUUUCCGAUGAUUAUAUAGGAUUUGAGCUUGAGAGUGAUUUGAGAUAAAUGCUUUUCAUUGGAUUUUUGUUAUGAUUUAUGAAUGAUCGGGUUAUUGUUGAACUAUGGAUAUUAUGUUUAUUGAUGAAAUUAUUUUAUAUUUGUGGUGAUAAUAAUUGUUUCGGUUGGAUGUAUGAUGUUGUUCGAGACCGUAGAAGAAAAGGGAUGGACUAAUGGUCUUAGUUUGAGGCACCAGGAGAGAGGGGAUGAGAUAUCGACCAUUGUUGAAGUUCAAACACCAGUAGAGAGGUGAUGAAUUUGUGACCGACACUGUUAUUGAGAUUCCAAGACAGAAGGGAUGGACUAGUGGUCGAUAUUAUUGUAGUGGCACCAUGAGAGAAAGGAUGAACUGGUGGCCAAUUUGACUUUUGAUUUGAGAUAUGUUGUGACCCAAAUGUAUUUUAGUUAGAGUGUGAAAUGCGCAGAGAAUAUCGAGCAAGUUGCUAAUUCAGAAGAGAUCACUCGAUCACAGCAUAGUAGGCUGGCCCCAUCUGUGAAUGCUCAAACUACACCACUACUACAACAGAUACAGAACUUGGAAGAAAGGGAACGCCGAGUGGAGGCAGCACCACAAAACAUCAAGCCAAUGUCAGAUUUCACUACGUGUCUGGAGCUGUUCAAUCAGCGAAUUCUACAAUCAGUAGGCAUUCCCGCCCUGAAACCUCUAAAAAUAGCUCAAUAUUCAGGGAACUCAGACCGCUUCACCUAUUUACAGUAUUUUGAAUCCGCCAACUGGGUAUUCAGGACUCCAGUCAAUUGUUUAAGAUUUUUCAAGCGAAUGAUGAGUCCGUCCACUUAUAUGUGACUCGAUGGAGGAAAGCUGCUUCUCAGUGCAUGAACCGAGACAAGGGAGUGGCCACGAUAGCUUUCAAGCGAGGCAUACAGAAAAACAAAUUCUUAUACAACUUGAACGCGGAGAUAGUCACACUUACAUACGACGAGCUGAUGAAGAGGGCCAUAUUCCAUGCCAAUACUGAAUACAACACAUAAGGCAACAACCCUCCACCACCCCCUCGAGUCUCUCAAACUACACAACCCGCACCCAACCAUACUUUCCCUCAGCGAAACAACAGGAAGCACGAGUGGCCAAAGGACCACCAGCUAGACAAGCGUCCACGUAAUAGGUAGUAUCAUAACUCCUACUACUUCUGUGCAGCUUCUCCCUCAUCAAAAGUACAUGUUCCUGAUGAGGACCUUUCUUGAUCGAGGACUCCUUGGUCGGCCCAGUGAGAGGCCAGCUAAAAUGAUGAAACGCGUGUCCGUACAUGGACACCUUGCUUCAAUAGAAACUCCCCAAUCAAGAAAACCCUCUUACUUGGGGACUUGUUAGUAUGCCCACUUGCGGAGCGUAUAGUCUCAUGCUCGUGCGAAGACUUUUGGAAUCCCCACAUAGGAUGGAUAAUGACUCAAUAAAAAAAGAGCACGCGUUUGUACACAUUGGCUAGCGGAUGUCUCCAAGUCGAGUCAACUUGAUAGCUUGCUUGGACCCAAGCUAUCCUUGACACCUACAUAAAAGGGUCUCACUCCUAUUCUCGAGUUAUCGCACUACAACAAAACCCGGCUUUAAUGACCACCGUAAUGGUCAUUGAAAACAGACAAUUUGGUCACUGAAUAUCAUUAGUGACCAAAUAUUGUUAGUCACUAAGUGGUCAGUAUAGACUCGUCACUAAUUCUAUUUAGUGACCAAAGUAUGGUUGUUGGUCACUAAUAUGAAAGGACUAAUGAAAAGUAUUAAUGACUAA
Rosa chinensis is the source of this 2100-nucleotide long non-coding RNA. RefSeq lists it as uncharacterized. The record is from RefSeq and is a predicted model, not a curated record. The transcript has 4 exons. Lineage: Eukaryota; Viridiplantae; Streptophyta; Magnoliopsida; Rosales; Rosaceae.